This 497-nucleotide ribosomal RNA is filed under the name uncultured bacterium. RNAcentral describes it as "partial 16S ribosomal RNA". It matches the Rfam family "Bacterial small subunit ribosomal RNA", at positions 899 to 1397 of the family's 1533-position model. The record is from RNAcentral.
ACUCAAAGGAAUAGACGGGGGCCCGCACAAGCAGCGGAGCAUGUUGCUUAAUUCGAGGCAACGCGAAGAACCUUACCUGGGUUUGACAUGCAGGGAAAAGCCGUAGAGAUACGGUGUCCGUAAGGGCCUUGCACAGGUGGUGCAUGGCUGUCGUCAGCUCGUGUCGUGAGAUGUUGGGUUAAGUCCCGCAACGAGCGCAACCCUUAUCCUAUGUUGCCAGCGGGUAAUGCCGGGGACUCGUAGGAGACUGCCGGGGUCAACUCGGAGGAAGGUGGGGAUGAGGUCAAGUCAUCAUGCCCCUUACACCCAGGGCUGCAAACAUGCUACAAUGGCCGGUACAAAGGGCUGCUAUCCCGCGAGGGUGAGCGAAUCCCAAAAAGCCGGUCUCAGUUCGGAUUGGAGUCUGCAACUCGACUCCAUGAAGCUGGAGUUGCUAGUAAUCCCGGAUCAGCAACGCCGGGGUGAAUACGUUCCCGGGCCUUGCACACACCGCCCGU